This 431-nucleotide ribosomal RNA is filed under the name Bacillus subtilis. RNAcentral's name for it is "bacterial SSU rRNA". It matches the Rfam family "Bacterial small subunit ribosomal RNA", at positions 59 to 483 of the family's 1533-position model. The record is from RNAcentral. Lineage: Bacteria; Bacillati; Bacillota; Bacilli; Caryophanales; Bacillaceae.
CAGUCGAGCGGACAGAUGGGAGCUUGCUCCCUGAUGUUAGCGGCGGACGGGUGAGUAACACGUGGGUAACCUGCCUGUAAGACUGGGAUAACUCCGGGAAACCGGGGCUAAUACCGGAUGGUUGUUUGAACCGCAUGGUUCAAACAUAAAAGGUGGCUUCGGCUACCACUUACAGAUGGACCCGCGGCGCAUUAGCUAGUUGGUGAGGUAAUGGCUCACCAAGGCAACGAUGCGUAGCCGACCUGAGAGGGUGAUCGGCCACACUGGGACUGAGACACGGCCCAGACUCCUACGGGAGGCAGCAGUAGGGAAUCUUCCGCAAUGGACGAAAGUCUGACGGAGCAACGCCGCGUGAGUGAUGAAGGUUUUCGGAUCGUAAAGCUCUGUUGUUAGGGAAGAACAAGUACCGUUCGAAUAGGGCGGUACCUUGA